GAUGAAGAACGCAGCGAAAUGCGAUAAGUAAUGUGAAUUGCAGAAUUCAGUGAAUCAUCGAAUCUUUGAACGCACCUUGCGCCCUUUGGCCAUUCCGAAGGGCAUGCCUGUUUGAGUAUCAUGAACACCUCAACUCUCAUGGCUUGCCAUGAUGAGCUUGGACUUUGGGGGUCUUGCUGGCCUGCGGCCAGCUCCUCUCAAAUGAAUUAGCUUUCCAGUGUUUGGUUGGCAUCACAGGUGUGAUAACUAUCUACGCUUGUGGUUUCCACCAGGUAACCUUCAGUAACAUGGGGGUUUGCUGGAGCUCAUAAAUGUCUCUCCUCAGUGGGGACAGCUCUUCGAACGUUUGAUCUCAAAUCAGGUAGGACUACCCGCUGAACUUAAGCAUAUCAAUAAGCGGAGGA
Molecule: unclassified non-coding RNA, 404 nt
Filed under: soil metagenome
Description: partial contains 5.8S ribosomal RNA, internal transcribed spacer 2, and large subunit ribosomal RNA
Rfam family: 5.8S ribosomal RNA (bases 1-121)
Source: RNAcentral